RNAcentral lists this ribosomal RNA (907 nucleotides) under uncultured archaeon. RNAcentral describes it as "bacterial SSU rRNA". It matches the Rfam family "Archaeal small subunit ribosomal RNA", at positions 10 to 922 of the family's 1478-position model. The record is from RNAcentral.
GAUCCUGCCGGAGGUCACUGCUAUUGGGAUUCGACUAAGCCAUGCGAGUCGAGAGGGUUCGGCCCUCGGCUGACGGCUCAGUAACACGUGGAUAAUCUGCCCUUAGGUGGAGGAUAAUCUCGGGAAACUGAGAAUAAUACUCCAUAGGUCUAAGAUGCUGGAAUGCACUUAGGCUGAAAGCCUCGGCGCCUAAGGAUGAGUCUGCGGACUAUCAGGUAGUAGUCAGGGUAAAGACCUGACUAGCCUACGACGGAUACGGGUUGUGAGAGCAAUAACCCGGAGACGAUAUCUGAGACACGAUAUCGGGCCCUACGGGGCGCAGCAGGCGCGAAACCUUCACACUGUGCGAAAGCACGAUGAGGGGAUCCCAAGUGCUGGCUCGUAAGAGUAAGCUGUUUCUCUGUCUAAAAAACAGAGAGAGUAAGAGCUGGGUAAGACGGGUGCCAGCCGCCGCGGUAAUACCUGCAGCUCAAGUGGUGGCCGUUAUUAUUGGGCCUAAAACGUCCGUAGCCGGUUUAGUAAAUGCCUGGGUAAAUCGUGUAGCUUAACUAUACGAAUUCCGGGUAGACUGCUAGACUUGAGACCGGGAGAAGCUAGAGGUACUCCUGGGGUAGAGGUGAAAUUCUGUAAUCCUAGGGGGACCACCAGUGGCGAAGGCGUCUAGCUAGAACGGGUCUGACGGUGAGGGACGAAGCCCUGGGGCGCAAACCGGAUUAGAUACCCGGGUAGUCCAGGGUGUAAACGCUGCUUGCUUGAUGUUAGUUGGGCUCCGAGCCCAAUUAGUGUCGGAGAGAAGUUGUUAAGCAAGCUGCCUGGGAAGUACGGUCGCAAGACUGAAACUUAAAGGAAUUGGCGGGGGAGCACAGCAACGGGUGGAGCGUGCGGUUUAAUUGGAGUCAACGCCGGA